CCUACGGGAGGCAGCAGUGAGGAAUAUUGGUCAAUGGCCGCAGGGCUGAACCAGCCAAGUCGCGUGAGGGAUGACGGUCCUAUGGAUUGUAAACCUCUUUUGUCAGGGAGCAAAGGGCGCCACGUGUGGCGCUUUGCGAGUACCUGAAGAAAAAGCAUCGGCUAACUACGUGCCAGCAGCCGCGGUAAUACGGAGGAUGCGAGCGUUAUCCGGAUUUAUUGGGUUUAAAGGGUGCGCAGGCGGAAUGUCAAGUCAGCGGUAAAAUUUCGGGGCUCAACCCCGUCGUGCCGUUGAAACUGGCGUUCUUGAGUGAGCGAGAAGUAUGCGGAAUGCGUGGUGUAGCGGUGAAAUGCAUAGAUAUCACGCAGAACUCCGAUUGCGAAGGCAGCAUACCGGCGCUCAACUGACGCUCAUGCACGAAAGCGUGGGUAUCGAACAGGAUUAGAUACCCCAGUAGUC
Molecule: ribosomal RNA, 459 nt
Filed under: uncultured bacterium
Lineage: Bacteria
Description: partial 16S ribosomal RNA
Rfam family: Bacterial small subunit ribosomal RNA
Source: RNAcentral